Molecule: ribosomal RNA, 253 nt
Filed under: uncultured bacterium
Lineage: Bacteria
Description: partial 16S ribosomal RNA
Rfam family: Bacterial small subunit ribosomal RNA
Source: RNAcentral
UACGAAGGGGGCUAGCGUUGCUCGGAAUCACUGGGCGUAAAGGGCGCGUAGGCGGCCAUUCAAGUCAGAGGUGAAAGCCCAAGGCUCAACCUUGGAAUUGCCUUUGAUACUGUUUGGCUUGAGACCGGAAGAGGUUAGUGGAACUGCGAGUGUAGAGGUGAAAUUCGUAGAUAUUCGCAAGAACACCAGUGGCGAAGGCGGCUAACUGGUCCGGUUCUGACGCUGAGGCGCGAAAGCGUGGGGAGCAAACGGG